RNAcentral lists this ribosomal RNA (433 nucleotides) under uncultured bacterium. RNAcentral describes it as "partial 16S ribosomal RNA". It matches the Rfam family "Bacterial small subunit ribosomal RNA", at positions 29 to 507 of the family's 1533-position model. The record is from RNAcentral.
AACGAACGCUGGCGGCAUGCCUAACACAUGCAAGUCGAACGAGACCUUCGGGUCUAGUGGCGCACGGGUGCGUAACGCGUGGGAACCUGCCCUUAGGUUCGGAAUACCUCCCCGAAAGGGGUGCUAAUACCGGAUAAGGUCUUCGGACCAAAGAUUUAUCGCCUUUGGAUGGGCCCGCGUGGGAUUAGCUAGUUGGUAGGGUAAAAGCCUACCAAGGCGACGAUCCAUAGCUGGUCUGAGAGGAUGAUCAGCCACACUGGGACUGAGACACGGCCCAGACUCCUACGGGAGGCAGCAGUGGGGAAUAUUGGACAAUGGGCGAAAGCCUGAUCCAGCAAUGCCGCGUGAGUCAUGAAGGCCUUAGGGUUGUAAAGCUCUUUUACACGGGAUGAUAAUGACAGUACCGGGAGAAUAAGCUCCGGCUAACUCCGUG